This 253-nucleotide ribosomal RNA is filed under the name uncultured bacterium. RNAcentral's name for it is "partial 16S ribosomal RNA". It matches the Rfam family "Bacterial small subunit ribosomal RNA", at positions 524 to 776 of the family's 1533-position model. The record is from RNAcentral.
UACGUAGGGUGCGAGCGUUGUCCGGAAUUAUUGGGCGUAAAGAGCUCGUAGGCGGUUUGUCGCGUCGGCCGUGAAAACUUGGGGCUUAACCCCAAGCCUGCGGUCGAUACGGGCAGACUUGAGUUCGGCAGGGGAGACUGGAAUUCCUGGUGUAGCGGUGAAAUGCGCAGAUAUCAGGAGGAACACCAAUGGCGAAGGCAGCUCGCUGGAACGGAACUGACGCUGAGGCGCGAAAGCGUGGGGAGCGAACAGG